RNAcentral lists this ribosomal RNA (440 nucleotides) under uncultured bacterium. RNAcentral's name for it is "partial 16S ribosomal RNA". It matches the Rfam family "Bacterial small subunit ribosomal RNA", at positions 338 to 795 of the family's 1533-position model. The record is from RNAcentral.
CCUACGGGUGACAGCAGUCGAGAAUCAUUCACAAUGGGGGAAACCCUGAUGCAGCGACGCCGCGUGAGUGAAGAAGUAUUUCGGUGUGUAAAGCUCUUUCAGCAGGGAAGAAAAUGACGGUACCUGAUUAAGAAGCCCCGUCUAACUACGUUCCAGCAGCCGCGGUAAUACGUAGGGGGCCAGCGUUAUACGGAUUUACUGGGUGUAAAGGGAGCGUAGACGGCAGCACAAGUCUGGAGUGAAAUGCCGGGGCUUAACCGCGGAAGUGCUUUGGAAACUGGGCGGCUAGAGUGCAGGAGAGGUAAGUGGAAUUCGUAGUGUAGCGGUGAAAUGCGUAGAUAUUAGGAGGAACACCAGUGGCGAAGGCGGCUUACUGGACUGUAACUGACGUUGAGGCUCGAAAGCGUGGGGAGCAAACAGGAUUAGAUACCCUUGUAGUC